UGGCUUGGAAGCAGCCAUUCAUUUAAAGAGUGCGUAACAGCUCACUAGUCGAGCGAUCCCGCGUGGAUAAUACACGGGCAUCAAACUGUCAACCGAAGCCGUGGGGUUAGCUUGAUGGCUAACCGGUAGGAGAGCAUUCCUGCCAGCUUUGAAGGUCACCCGCGAGAGUGACUGGAGCGGCAUGAAAAGCAAAUGUAGGCAUAAGUAACGAUAAUGGGGGCGAGAACCCCCCACGCCGCAAGACCAAGGCUUCCCCGGCAAUGUCAAUCAGCCGGGGGUCAGCCGGCCUCUAAGGCUAACCCGAAGGGGGACGCCGACGAGAAACGGGUUAACAUUCCCGUGCUUCUCGUCACCGUGACGCGGUGACGGGGUGAUGAAUGGACCGCGCGCAGACGGAAUAGCGCGUUGAAGGCCGUACCCUUCGAGGGUGGUAGUCAAGCACGCCACCGGAGGCGACAGCCGAUAGUACCUCGAGGCCUCGGCCGAGGGGAUAGCGUCCAGGCAAUUAACCCCCUAGAAAACCCGCUAAACUUCAAGUGACGAGGAACCGUACCGUAAACGGACACACGUGGUCGGGUAGAACAUACCAAGGCGCUCGAGUGAUUCAUGGUCAAGGAACUAGGCAAAAUAGUCCUGUAACUUAGGGAUAAAGGACGCUCUAGUGAUAGAGCCGCAGAGAAAUGGCCCAGGCGACUGUUUACCAAAAACACAUGGCUAUGCCAAAUCGAAAGAUGACGUAUAUGGCCUGACACCUGCCCGGUGCCGGAAGGUUAAGAGGAGAGCUCAUCAGUAAUGAGAAGGUUUGAAUUGAAGCCCCGGUAAACGGCGGCCGUAACUAUAACGGUCCUAAGGUAGCGAAAUUCCUUGUCGGGUAAGUUCCGACCUGCACGAAUGGUGUAACGAUCUGGGCACUGUCUCGACCAUGAGCUCGGUGAAAUUGUAGUUCCGGUGAAGAUGCCGGGUACCCGCGACGGGACGGAAAGACCCCGUGAACCUUUACUGCAGCUUCGCGUUGUUCCCGGGCACGGGACGUGUAGGAUAGGUCGGAGGCUACGAUUCGGUUUCGCCAGGAAUCGAGGAGCCAUCGUUGAAAUACGACCCUUCUCUUGUCUGGGAUCUAACCCUAGGUACAGGGGACACCGCGUGGUGGGUAGUUUGACUGGGGUGGUCGCCUCCAAAAGCGUAACGGAGGCUUCCAAAGGUACCCUCGGGUUGGUUGGUAAUCAACCUCAGAGUGCAAUGGCACAAGGGUGCUUGACCGGGAGACCAACGAGUCGAUCGGGUGCGAAAGCAGGGCAUAGUGAUCCGGUGAUCCCGCGUGGAAGGGUCAUCGCUCAAAGGAUAAAAGGUACUCCGGGGAUAACAGGCUGAUCGCCCCCAAGAGCUCAUAUCGACGGGGCGGUUUGGCACCUCGAUGUC
RNAcentral lists this ribosomal RNA (1419 nucleotides) under human gut metagenome. Its description in RNAcentral is "bacterial LSU rRNA". It matches the Rfam family "Bacterial large subunit ribosomal RNA", at positions 1102 to 2533 of the family's 2925-position model. The record is from RNAcentral.